RNAcentral lists this ribosomal RNA (477 nucleotides) under uncultured bacterium. Its description in RNAcentral is "bacterial SSU rRNA". It matches the Rfam family "Bacterial small subunit ribosomal RNA", at positions 29 to 524 of the family's 1533-position model. The record is from RNAcentral.
AUUGAACGCUGGCGGAAUGCUUUACACAUGCAAGUCGAGCGGCAGCGCGGGGGCAACCCUGGCGGCGAGCGGCGAACGGGUGAGUAAUAUAUCGGAACGUACCCCGUCGUGGGGGAUAACACAGCGAAAGCUGUGCUAAUACCGCAUACGACCUGAGGGUGAAAGCGGGGGAUCGCAAGACCUCGCGCGAUGGGAGCGGCCGAUAUCGGAUUAGCUUGUUGGUGAGGUAAAGGCUCACCAAGGCGACGAUCCGUAGCUGGUCUGAGAGGACGACCAGCCACACUGGAACUGAGACACGGUCCAGACUCCUACGGGAGGCAGCAGUGGGGAAUUUUGGACAAUGGGGGCAACCCUGAUCCAGCCAUUCCGCGUGAGCGAUGAAGUAUUUCGGUAUGUAAAGCCCUAUCAGCAGGGAAGAAAAUGACGGUACCUGACUAAGAAGCCCCCGGCUAACUACGUGCCAGCAGCCGCGGUAAU